AGGAUUGGCAUGGGCGAAAGCCUGAUCAGCAAUGCCGCGUGUGUGAAGAAGGCCUUCGGGUUGUAAAGCACUUUUGUCCGGAAAGAAAUGGCUCUGGUUAAUACCUGGGGUCGAUGACGGUACCGGAAGAAUAAGGACCGGCUAACUACGUGCCAGCAGCCGCGGUAAUACGUAGGGUCCAAGCGUUAAUCGGAAUUACUGGGCGUAAAGCGUGCGCAGGCGGUUGUGCAAGACCGAUGUGAAAUCCCCGAGCUUAACUUGGGAAUUGCAUUGGUGACUGCACGGCUAGAGUGUGUCAGAGGGGGGUAGAAUUCCACGUGUAGCAGUGAAAUGCGUAGAGAUGUGGAGGAAUACCGAUGGCGAAGGCAGCCCCCUGGGAUAACACUGACGCUCAUGCACGAAAGCGUGGG
This 410-nucleotide ribosomal RNA is filed under the name uncultured bacterium. RNAcentral describes it as "bacterial SSU rRNA". It matches the Rfam family "Bacterial small subunit ribosomal RNA", at positions 359 to 765 of the family's 1533-position model. The record is from RNAcentral.